AUCGAACGCUGGCGGCAGGCUUAACACAUGCAAGUCGAGCGGGCCCUUCGGGUUCAGCGGCGGACGGGUGAGUAACGCGUGGGAACGUGCCUUCUGGUCUGGAAUAACCCUGGGAAACUCGGGCUAAUACCGGAUACGCCCUUUUGGGGAAAGGUUUACUGCCGGAAGAUCGGCCCGCGUCUGAUUAGCUAGUUGGUGGGGUAACGGCCUACCAAGGCGACGAUCAGUAGCUGGUCUGAGAGGAUGAUCAGCCACACUGGGACUGAGACACGGCCCAGACUCCUACGGGAGGCAGCAGUGGGGAAUAUUGGACAAUGGGCGCAAGCCUGAUCCAGCCAUGCCGCGUGAGUGAUGAAGGCCUUAGGGUUGUAAAGCUCUUUUAUCCGGGACGAUAAUGACGGUACCGGAGGAAUAAGCCCCGGCUAACUUCGUG
RNAcentral lists this ribosomal RNA (433 nucleotides) under uncultured bacterium. RNAcentral describes it as "partial 16S ribosomal RNA". It matches the Rfam family "Bacterial small subunit ribosomal RNA", at positions 30 to 507 of the family's 1533-position model. The record is from RNAcentral.